This 303-nucleotide long non-coding RNA is filed under the name Mytilus galloprovincialis (Mediterranean mussel). Lineage: Eukaryota; Metazoa; Mollusca; Bivalvia; Mytilida; Mytilidae. The record is from RNAcentral.
CGGUGCGACAUGUGAAAAAAACACACCCCUGUUUUAGUUACAAAGUGCCGUAACUUAAAAAGUUUAAAUCUUAUUUUCACCAAAAAGUAUACAGAUCAUUUGACCAUCAUAAGAAACAACUAUGUUAAGUUUCAUGAAAUUUGGAUAAGUCGUUCUCAAGUUACGGUGCGACAUGUUUACGCCGGACAGACAGGCGGACAGACUAACAGACGGACAGACGGACAGACAGACGGACGGACGGACACAGGACAUUUGUAUACCAUAAUACGUCCCGUCAAAAUUUUGACGGGCGUAUAAAAACGC